GCGGAGGAAAAGAAACUAACAAGGAUUCCCCUAGUAACUGCGAGUGAAGCGGGAAGAGCUCAAAUUUGAAAUCUGGCGGUUCUGCCGUCCGAGUUGUAAUCUGGAGAAGCGUUUUCCGUGCCGGACCGUGUACAAGUCCCUUGGAACAGGGCGUCAUAGAGGGUGAGAAUCCCGUCUUUGACACGGACUCCCGGUGCUCUGUGAUGCGCUCUCGAAGAGUCGAGUUGUUUGGGAAUGCAGCUCAAAAUGGGUGGUAAAUUCCAUCUAAAGCUAAAUAUUGGCGAGAGACCGAUAGCGAACAAGUACCGUGAGGGAAAGAUGAAAAGCACUUUGGAAAGAGAGUAAAACAGUACGUGAAAUUGUUGAAAGGGAAACGCUUGAAGUCAGUCGCGUCUUCUGGAACUCAGCCUUGCUCUGCUCGGCGCACUUUCCAGUUCGACGGGUCAGCAUCGGCUCUGGGGGGCGGACAAAGGCGCGGGGAAGGUGGCAGCUCCGGCUGCGUUAUAGCCCCGCGUUGUACGCGUCCCCCGGGACCGAGGAAUCCGGCGCUCGCGCCUGGGAUGCUGGCGUAAUGGCUUUAAACGACCCGUCUUGAA
Molecule: ribosomal RNA, 596 nt
Filed under: Subulicystidium fusisporum
Lineage: Eukaryota; Fungi; Basidiomycota; Agaricomycetes; Trechisporales; Hydnodontaceae
Description: LSU rRNA
Rfam family: Eukaryotic large subunit ribosomal RNA
Source: RNAcentral